UUGAUCCUGGCUCAGGACGAACGCUGGCGGCGUGCUUAACACAUGCAAGUCGAGCGAUGAAGCACCUUCGGGUGUGAAUUAGCGGCGAACGGGUGAGGAACACGUGAGAAAUCUGCCUUCAACACUGGGAUAACUCCGGGAAACCGGGGCUAAUACCGGAUAUGAAAUCUGCGGGCAUCCGCGGAUUUGGAAAGUUUUUCGGUUGAAGAUGAUCUCGCGGCCUAUCAGCUUGUUGGUGAGGUAAUGGCUCACCAAGGCGACGACGGGUAGCCGGCCUGAGAGGGCGACCGGCCACACUGGGACUGAGACACGGCCCAGACUCCUACGGGAGGCAGCAGUGGGGAAUAUUGGGCAAUGGAGGAAACUCUGACCCAGCGACGCCGCGUGCGGGAUGAAGGCCUUCGGGUUGUAAACCGCUUUCAGCAGGGAAGAAGCGAAAGUGACGGUACCUGAAGAAGAAGCACCGGCUAACUAUGUGCCAGCAGCCGCGGUAAUACAUAGGGUGCAAGCGUUGUCCGGAAUUAUUGGGCGUAAAGAGCUCGUAGGUGGUUCGUCACGUCGGAUGUGAAACUCUGGGGCUUAACCCCAGACCUGCAUUCGAUACGGGCGAGCUUGAGUAUGGUAGGGGAGUCUGGAAUUCCUGGUGUAGCGGUGGAAUGCGCAGAUAUCAGGAGGAACACCAAUGGCGAAGGCAGGACUCUGGGCCAUUACUGACACUGAGGAGCGAAAGCGUGGGGAGCGAACAGGAUUAGAUACCCUGGUAGUCCACGCCGUAAACGGUGGGCACUAGUUGUGGGGACCUUCCACGGUCUCUGCGACGCAGCUAACGCAUUAAGUGCCCCGCCUGGGGAGUACGAUCGCAAGAUUAAAACUCAAAGGAAUU
RNAcentral lists this ribosomal RNA (883 nucleotides) under uncultured Micrococcineae bacterium. RNAcentral describes it as "bacterial SSU rRNA". It matches the Rfam family "Bacterial small subunit ribosomal RNA", at positions 13 to 911 of the family's 1533-position model. Lineage: Bacteria; Bacillati; Actinomycetota; Actinomycetes; Micrococcales. The record is from RNAcentral.